Long non-coding RNA from Ictalurus punctatus (channel catfish), 484 nucleotides. The record is from Ensembl. NCBI's taxonomy places the organism in Eukaryota, Metazoa, Chordata, Actinopteri, Siluriformes, Ictaluridae.
AUGUAAAGAGUAAUAAAGGAGAGAGAGAGAGAGAGAGAGAGAGAUGUAAAGCGUAAUAAAGGAGAGAGAGAGAGAGAGAUAGAGAGAGAGAUGUAAAGCGUAAUAAAGGAGGGAGAGAGAGAGAGAGAGAGAUGUAAAGCGUAAUAAAGGAGAGAGAGAGAGGGGGGGUGUAAAGGGUAAUAAAGGAGAGAGAGAGAGAGAUGUAAAGCGUAAUAAAGGAGAGAGAGAUGUAAAGAGUAAUAAAGGAGAGAGAGAGAGAUGUAAAGAGUAAUAAAGGAGAGAGAGAGAGAGAGAGAGAUGUAAAGCAUAAUAAAGGAGAGAGAGAGAGAGAGAGAUAGAGAUGUAAAGCGUAAUAAAGGAGGGAGAGAGAGAGAGAGAGAAGAGUGUAAAGCGUAAUAAAGGAGAGAGAGAGAGAGAGAGAGAGAGGAGAGAGAGAGAUGUAAAGCGUAAUAAAGGAGGGAGAGAGAGAGAGAGAGAGAUGUAA